This 460-nucleotide ribosomal RNA is filed under the name uncultured bacterium. RNAcentral's name for it is "partial 16S ribosomal RNA". It matches the Rfam family "Bacterial small subunit ribosomal RNA", at positions 338 to 795 of the family's 1533-position model. The record is from RNAcentral.
CCUACGGGGGGCAGCAGUGAGGAAUAUUGGUCAAUGGGCGAGAGCCUGAACCAGCCAAGUCGCGUGAAGGAUGACGGCCCUACGGGUUGUAACCUUCUUUUGUCAGGGAGCAAUUGAGUCCACGUGUGGGCUUAGCGAGAGUACCUGAAGAAAAAGCAUCGGCCAACUCCGUGCCAGCAGCCGCGGUAAUACGGAGGAUGCGAGCGUUAUCCGGUUUUAUUGGGUUGAAAGGGGGCGUAGGCGGAAUAUCAAGUCAGCGGUAAAAGUUAGGGUCUCAACCCCGUGGUGACGUGGAAAGUGAUGUUCUUGAGUGGGCGAGAAGAAUGCGGAAUGCGUGGUGUAGCGGUGAAAUGCAUAGAUAUCACGCAGAACUCCGAUUGCGAAGGCAGCAUACCGGCGCCUAACUGACGCUGAAGUACGAAAGCGUGGGUAUCGAACAGGAUUAGAUACCCUAGUAGUC